Molecule: non-coding RNA, 738 nt
Organism: Salvelinus sp. IW2-2015
Lineage: Eukaryota; Metazoa; Chordata; Actinopteri; Salmoniformes; Salmonidae
Source: the annotation of a RefSeq genome assembly
AGAGAUGCAGUAUCACAAAAGAGAGGACAAAUGAGAGGAGAGAUUGAGAUUCACAAAAGCAACUGUGCUUAGGGGUGGAGCUUGUAGGUAAACUAAGCAGAAAUGAUGAACCGAAAACCUUGCAGAUGAAGUCAGGUUAUGUUGUGCUAUUAGCCAGUUUGACUUCCAACCCCAGUCAUGUUGUUCAUCUGGUCAUGUAUUAUGUUCUCAGUAAUAGGUGACACCUAUGAGCAGACAAUAGAGCAAAACCAACAAGAAGUGUAUGCAGAAGUGGGUAGUAAUGUUCUUCUUUCAUGCAACUACUCCUCAGCAGACAGUCUGCUAUGGUAUAAACAGUCUCCAGGAUCAGCUCCCCAAUACCUUCUGCUCAUCCCGCACUACAGUGGGAUUGAACAGCGACCUGCUUCUCUUGACUCUCGCUUCUCUGGUAAACUGAACAAAGAGAAGACCCGUGUGGAUCUGGAGAUCUCCUCUGCUGAAGUGACAGACUCUGCUCUGUACUACUGUGCUCUGAGGCCCACAGUGACAGGAAACCCAGAAACACUGUACAAAAACCUAACAUCGCCUGAGAGAGUAUUUCUUCUCUGUAGUUCCAAGUUGCAUUUGACAGUAGUGCCUUCAAGUGGAGUCAACAUGCACCCAUUCUAUUGUGUCAAGAGGAGGAGCUUAGUGUUACACAUAACUUGUAAUGAGUGGAACUGAUUCAUCCAGAGAGUGAAUGUUCCAAGAGAAGAUCAU